CGGCCGCAGUACCUUGCCUGUGCAAAGGUAGCAUAAUAAUUUGUCCUCUAAUUAAGGUCUGGAAUGAAGGGGGACACAGGGGAGAGCUGUCUCCAAUAAGGUUAAUUUAACUUUCUUAUCAGGUGAAAAUUCCUGAGCCUCCGAUGAAAGACGAGAAGACCCUUAGAGUUUUUAUUAUAACUUGAUAUGUUAAGAUUCUUGUUCUGUUUUUGUUGGGGCGACAGGGUUACAAUAGAUAACUUACCCUACCAUAUUUUUAUAUGGCGAUCAUUAUACUUUUAAUUAAGCUACCUAAGGGAUAACAGCGUAAUCUUUUUUUUUUGGUUUGCGACCUCGAUG
RNAcentral lists this ribosomal RNA (339 nucleotides) under Lissachatina fulica (giant African snail). RNAcentral's name for it is "partial 16S ribosomal RNA". It matches the Rfam family "Bacterial large subunit ribosomal RNA", at positions 1928 to 2531 of the family's 2925-position model. The record is from RNAcentral. Lineage: Eukaryota; Metazoa; Mollusca; Gastropoda; Stylommatophora; Achatinidae.